AUGCAAGUCGAGCGGGCAUAGCAAUAUGUCAGCGGCAGACGGGUGAGUAACGCGUGGGAACGUACCUUUUGGUUCGGAACAACUGAGGGAAACUUCAGCUAAUACCGGAUAAGCCCUUACGGGGAAAGAUUUAUCGCCGAAAGAUCGGCCCGCGUCUGAUUAGCUAGUUGGUGAGGUAAUGGCUCACCAAGGCGACGAUCAGUAGCUGGUCUGAGAGGAUGAUCAGCCACAUUGGGACUGAGACACGGCCCAAACUCCUACGGGAGGCAGCAGUGGGGAAUAUUGGACAAUGGGCGCAAGCCUGAUCCAGCCAUGCCGCGUGAGUGAUGAAGGCCCUAGGGUUGUAAAGCUCUUUUGUGCGGGAAGAUAAUGACGGUACCGCAAGAAUAAGCCCCGGCUAACUUCGUGCCAGCAGCCGCGGUAAUACGAAGGGGGCUAGCGUUGCUCGGAAUCACUGGGCGUAAAGGGUGCGUAGGCGGGUCUUUAAGUCAGGGGUGAAAUCCUGGAGCUCAACUCCAGAACUGCCUUUGAUACUGAAGAUCUUGAGUUCGGGAGAGGUGAGUGGAACUGCGAGUGUAGAGGUGAAAUUCGUAGAUAUUCGCAAGAUCACCAGUGGCGAAGGC
This 623-nucleotide ribosomal RNA is filed under the name Bradyrhizobium elkanii. RNAcentral's name for it is "bacterial SSU rRNA". It matches the Rfam family "Bacterial small subunit ribosomal RNA", at positions 55 to 722 of the family's 1533-position model. The record is from RNAcentral. Lineage: Bacteria; Pseudomonadati; Pseudomonadota; Alphaproteobacteria; Hyphomicrobiales; Nitrobacteraceae.